Small nuclear RNA from Lycium barbarum (goji berry), 103 nucleotides. NCBI's taxonomy places the organism in Eukaryota, Viridiplantae, Streptophyta, Magnoliopsida, Solanales, Solanaceae. The record is from RefSeq and is a predicted model, not a curated record.
GUCCCUUUGGGGACAUCCGAUAAAAUUGGUACUACACUGAGAAGAUUAGUAUGACUCUUGCGCAAAGAUGACACACACAAAACGAGAACGCUCUACGUUUUUU